Molecule: long non-coding RNA, 575 nt
Organism: Monodelphis domestica (gray short-tailed opossum)
Lineage: Eukaryota; Metazoa; Chordata; Mammalia; Didelphimorphia; Didelphidae
Source: RefSeq, a predicted model, not a curated record
AACUGUAAACAAGGAACAAAGAAGUGUUUUAAAAGAUGUUAUGAGGAAAAUGAUUGUUUGGAAAAAGGAAAAUUGACCAUCAUCUACUUGAAGCCUCUGUGUUCCAUUAGUGUCAACAAAAUCUAAGCAAUCAGUUACUAUGCAUUUCACUAGAUUCUAUGGUAAACACGGAAUGGCAAGAAUUAGAAUCACACAGGAUAGAUAAGUAUGAAUAAAUUGAAAUCUGCAUCACUGGUGGAAAUACCACCAUCCAGGAGAUCACAAAUGCACAGAUUCUCAGAAGAAUUCACUGUUGAGAGAAGGAGGUCAAAGAAUCAGAGGAAGGAAGCAGCUAGGAAAGAUGACACAAUUUGAAGAAUGAGAGAGAAGGUACCUGGUCUUAGCUCUUCACCAAUAUGUAAGCUCAGGCAAGAAUUCUCCAGUGAGAGAAGAAACCCACAAAGGAUGAAGGAGAAAGAAGCUGAGGCAUGGUAGUAAAGUCUACAGAAUGAGACACAGUGGUCUUUUGGUCCAUGUAGCACCAAAACUGUUCCACUCAAAAAUCCUACUUAUGACAAGGUAUUUUCUUGAUUUAA